This 270-nucleotide ribosomal RNA is filed under the name Triticum aestivum (bread wheat). RNAcentral describes it as "partial small subunit ribosomal RNA". Lineage: Eukaryota; Viridiplantae; Streptophyta; Magnoliopsida; Poales; Poaceae. The record is from RNAcentral.
AUGAAGCACAUAUUCAAGAUCAUCACGGUGCUGGCGGCGAUCUCGGCCGUCUGGGCUGCGCUCCUUGAAACCUCGACAGUUCCUCACAGUUACACCUGGCUGCUUCCCAUCUAUUUGGUAGUGGCGCUUGGAUGCUACGGCCUUUUUAUGGUUGGGUACGGGCUGAUGUUCUUUCCCACCUGUCCUCAAGAAGCCAUACUACUACAACAGGAUAUUAUGGAGGCUAAGGAAUUCUUAUCCAAAAGGGGUGUUGAUGUGGGCUCUGACUGA